AACGAACGCUGGCGGCAUGCCUAACACAUGCAAGUCGAACGAAGCAUAGCAAUAUGCUUAGUGGCGGACGGGUGAGUAACGCGUGAACAAUCUGCCCUGUACAAAGGAAUAGCCUCGGGAAACCGGGAUUAAAACCGUAUGACACUUUAGUAUCGCAUGAUAAGAAAGUCAAAUCGAAUAGAGGUAUGGGAUGAGUUCGCGUCUGAUUAGCUGGUUGGCGGGGUAACGGCCACCAAGGCGACGAUCAGUAGCCGGCCUGAGAGGGUGAACGGCCACACUGGAACUGAGACACGGUCCAGACUCCUACGGGAGGCAGCAGUGGGGAAUAUUGCACAAUGGAGGGAACUCUGAUGCAGCGACGCCGCGUGAGUGAAGAAGGUCUUCGGAUCGUAAAACUCUGUCCUUGGUGAAGAAAGGACGGUAGCCAAGGAGGAAGCCCCGGCUAACUACGUG
Molecule: ribosomal RNA, 453 nt
Filed under: uncultured bacterium
Lineage: Bacteria
Description: bacterial SSU rRNA
Rfam family: Bacterial small subunit ribosomal RNA
Source: RNAcentral